UAUACAUCGCUCACAUCGAGAAACAUUCUUUGUAGCCUAAAGGGUAGUAGCAAUAGAUUUGGUUAGUCGGAUGCACGCUUUCUCCUAGUGAAAUGCUCACUGAUAUCCGUGCGCUUGCGGAUCAUUUCCUUAUUGCGUUACCAAAUUUCAAUAAACAGCAGCAGCUAUUUGAUUUAACUGAGAUUCAAUCAUUUUAUUAAAGCAAAUUUGAUUCUUGGUGGCAGUAGAGAAAUUAUCCAUUCAGUUAUUUAUAUUUUCUAGCAUUUUAUCAUUUUAUGCCAAUUUCUUAGAUAGAUUAUCCAUUAGCUUUCCUUGAUUAGUCACUAACUCUCUCAA
RNAcentral lists this long non-coding RNA (336 nucleotides) under Sorghum bicolor (sorghum). RNAcentral's name for it is "long non-coding RNA (SBIC_LNC017533)". The record is from RNAcentral. Lineage: Eukaryota; Viridiplantae; Streptophyta; Magnoliopsida; Poales; Poaceae.